Bactrocera oleae (olive fruit fly) is the source of this 2153-nucleotide long non-coding RNA. RefSeq lists it as uncharacterized. NCBI's taxonomy places the organism in Eukaryota, Metazoa, Arthropoda, Insecta, Diptera, Tephritidae. The record is from RefSeq and is a predicted model, not a curated record.
ACUAUAUAUACAUAUGAAAUGGCGUCAGCUCUAAUUUUCUUACGAUAUCCUUAGGGGUGAUAUUGAAGCACUGCAUACUGAACCAUAUUAAUGAUGUCACCUAAAAUCCAUAUUAACAAUUCACCUAAAAAGGUGGUUUAUUUGUGGCGAUGUAGAAGAAGUUUCUUGAUUUUCGCGCGAAGGGAAAAAGAUAAUUUAAAAUUUUAUUCCACAAAAAUCUAUUUAUGAAAUCUUAAAAACUUUUAAGCAAUUAUGCAAUUGUAAAGAAAAACUGCUUUGAAAUCUCUUUUUCGAGCUAAACGUGAUCCCGACGGCGCUAAAGAAGGUCCUCUACUUCUGCAGUGAUUGGGUCUUAUCCAUUGAAACCUUAAAAAAGUGGAUCAUUUGUCUCUAAGUGAUCGCUCAUGCAAAUUCUAAAAAUGCAAGUUUAAGGAAAACGCGUUUAAAGAUAAACUGAUAGAGCUGAUUGAACUGAGCGGUUAUAUUUAGAAAACUGUAACUCAAAAAUUAUUUGAGUUGUCUAUUUGAAAGUUUUGGCAUGCCAUAUUUAAAGGUGUGCAGUUUAACAGUCGUUAGUGCUACUUUCUAUACAAACUAUAUCCAGAAAUCACCAAUAAAAUUUAUUUUUUCCAAUGGCUGCACAAAAGAAAAAUGCACCGAACGAACAAAGGAGUAAUUGAGUGAACAACCUAAAGACAACAAAUAAAAAGAACAAAAGGAAGCUCUGCUGAAAUUGACAAACAAAUUCUGAAAGCAAAAACAACACAACACAGAAAAUCGCAGCAAAGUGUAGUAAAUGCAGUGUUUGUAAAAACGAAAAUAAAAAGAGAAAAAGUGGAAAAUGUGGUUAGAACUGUGGUGAGACCACACAGCUAACUAUGUGAACUGAGUGCAACGGAAACGUCACAAUAAAUAGCAAGAGAAAACACUACAAAAACAACAACAACUAGGUAUAUACAAACGGCGGCGCGUCGUUGAGUGAUCGGGUCACUGCAAAAUUUUCUGCAGCUUUGAAUAUUUAACACAGCUAUAAAUAUUUAAAAAGCCUGAAAGAAAAGACAGACGGACGAAUGGUCAAAGGUAUGGUGAAUGCUGCUGGUGAUAAGACCUGUGGAGAUAUUUACGGAAGUACAGUUAUAACAUACUUGUAUAUAUGCAAAUAUAUACGAAUUGUUAUUUAUAUUUGUGCUUACAGAUUAAAACGCUCUAUCUAUUUGCUGGUCGCAAAAAAGAAAAUCAUAAAAAAUUGCUAAAAAACGGACCAUCACGUGGGAUGACCCCCUAAAGGAUUUCUAGGCAUCGUUAUAAACAUUGGAUAAUGGGAGCGGCAGUUGUAAUGGAAUCCUACAUCUAAGGAACUAGCCGGCAAAUUUCCACUCAAUUUGGUGCGAAAAGUUAUGCUGAUAUUCUUAUAUCACAGUGCAAAAAUGGGCAUAAUCGGACUAAAACCACACCUACUUCCUUCCAUGUGAUUCUUACGCGUUAGAGUUUAUGAAUUAAGCGCCAAUGAAGUUAUCGGAAUAAAAAUGUGUACAAAUAUAUUUCCUUCAAUCUACAAGUAUUACGACGAAGAAUUAUCGAAGUCGCAGCAUAACUUUUCAAGCGACAUAUACCAAAUAUGUGGACUUCCGUGCAAGCAUACCCUGAUUUUUACUGAUAAUAUCGGUCAAUCUGUGGAUUAAGAGAGAGAAGUCUAACAUGUUACUUUACACUCGAACUUAGCUCUAGUUACGCUUAUUCUGACUAUACUUGACUAAAUGUACGUGAUUGAUUAUAUCACUUCGCUAUAGACUUAUUAUAUAUAUUAUAUAUAUUUUAUAUUAUAUAUAUAUUAAUGGUAAGUAUAUCUAAUCUUAUAUUUUGUUGAAAGUUUUUAAAACAGUUGCUAACAUAAAAGUUUUAUCUGUUUUAAUAUAUAAUAUAUUUGUUGAACAUCAGCAACAUUUCUUGGUUAGAGAUCUUCUAUAGUUACAAAUUCAACCGUUUCCUAUGAGAUGAAAAUCAAUGUUCUCAAGAAGCGUCUUUGUGUGAUCUAAAAAUUAGUGUAACAGAUCAACUUUAUGCAUUCUUUUUGAAAAUAGAUUGGUUAAUUACUUUCUUCAUAAUUUUUUUGUUGUUGUUAUGUUAGCAAACGGUCGGCUAGUUUCCUCAAG